RNAcentral lists this ribosomal RNA (174 nucleotides) under bacterium d46(2011). RNAcentral describes it as "partial small subunit ribosomal RNA". It matches the Rfam family "Bacterial small subunit ribosomal RNA", at positions 405 to 572 of the family's 1533-position model. The record is from RNAcentral.
GUGAGAAGGUUUUCGGAUCGUAAAACUCUGCCGUUAGGGAAGAACACGUAUGAGAGUAACUGCUCGUACCUUGACGGUACCUUAUUAGAAAGCCACGGCUAACUACGUGCCAGCAGCCGCGGUAAUACGUAGGUGGCAAGCGUUGUCCGGAAUUAUUGGGCGUAAAGCGCGCGC